Molecule: ribosomal RNA, 468 nt
Filed under: uncultured bacterium
Lineage: Bacteria
Description: partial 16S ribosomal RNA
Rfam family: Bacterial small subunit ribosomal RNA
Source: RNAcentral
GACGAACGCUGGCGGCGUGCUUAACACAUGCAAGUCGAACGGAAAGGCCCUGCUUUUGUGGGGUGCUCGAGUGGCGAACGGGUGAGUAACACGUGAGUAACCUUCCCUUGACUUUGGGAUAACUUCAGGAAACUGGGGCUAAUACCGGAUAGGAGCUCCUGCUGCAUGGUGGGGGUUGGAAAGUUUCGGCGGUUGGGGAUGGACUCGCGGCUUAUCAGCUUGUUGGUGGGGUAGUGGCUUACCAAGGCAUUGACGGGUAGCCGGCCUGAGAGGGUGACCGGCCACAUUGGGCCUGCGAUACGGCGCAGACUCCUACGGGAGGCAGCAGUGGGGAAUAUUGCACAAUGGGCGGAAGCCUGAUGCAGAAACGCCGCGUGCGGGAUGACGGCCUUCGGGGUGUAAACCGCUUUCGCCUGUGACGAAGCGAGAGUGACGGUAAUGGGUAAAGAAGCACCGGCUAACUACGUG